GCCGAUGAUGAUCUCUCCAAGUAUUGAGAUGUAGAUAGCUCCAAGUCCCUGUCUUACAGGGAGAACCUACUUGGAGUUACUAUAUUCAAAUGACAUAAAUGGACUUAUCUGAGAU
This 115-nucleotide small nucleolar RNA is filed under the name Ananas comosus (pineapple). RNAcentral's name for it is "Small nucleolar RNA Z278". It matches the Rfam family "Small nucleolar RNA Z278". Rfam says of the family: snoZ278 is a C/D box small nucleolar RNA. Its methylation guide targets have not been reported. The record is from Rfam by way of RNAcentral. Lineage: Eukaryota; Viridiplantae; Streptophyta; Magnoliopsida; Poales; Bromeliaceae.